RNAcentral lists this ribosomal RNA (1372 nucleotides) under uncultured bacterium. RNAcentral's name for it is "bacterial SSU rRNA". It matches the Rfam family "Bacterial small subunit ribosomal RNA", at positions 28 to 1381 of the family's 1533-position model. The record is from RNAcentral.
GAUGAACGCUGGCGGCGUGCCUAAUACAUGCAAGUCGAGCGAACGGACGAGAAGCUUGCUUCUCUGAUGUUAGCGGCGGACGGGUGAGUAACACGUGGAUAACCUACCUAUAAGACUGGGAUAACUUCGGGAAACCGGAGCUAAUACCGGAUAAUAUUUUGAACCGCAUGGUUCAAAAGUGAAAGACGGUCUUGCUGUCACUUAUAGAUGGAUCCGCGCUGCAUUAGCUAGUUGGUAAGGUAACGGCUUACCAAGGCAACGAUGCAUAGCCGACCUGAGAGGGUGAUCGGCCACACUGGAACUGAGACACGGUCCAGACUCCUACGGGAGGCAGCAGUAGGGAAUCUCCCGCAAUGGGCGAAAGCCUGACGGAGCAACGCCGCGUGAGUGAUGAAGGUCUUCGGAUCGUAAAACUCUGUUAUUAGGGAAGAACAUAUGUGUAAGUAACUGUGCACAUCUUGACGGUACCUAAUCAGAAAGCCACGGCUAACUACGUGCCAGCAGCCGCGGUAAUACGUAGGUGGCAAGCGUUAUCCGGAAUUAUUGGGCGUAAAGCGCGCGUANGCGGUUUUUUAAGUCUGAUGUGAAAGCCCACGGCUCAACCGUGGAGGGUCAUUGGAAACUGGAAAACUUGAGUGCAGAAGAGGAAAGUGGAAUUCCAUGUGUAGCGGUGAAAUGCGCAGAGAUAUGGAGGAACACCAGUGGCGAAGGCGACUUUCUGGUCUGUAACUGACGCUGAUGUGCGAAAGCGUGGGGAUCAAACAGGAUUAGAUACCCUGGUAGUCCACGCCGUAAACGAUGAGUGCUAAGUGUUAGGGGGUUUCCGCCCCUUAGUGCUGCAGCUAACGCAUUAAGCACUCCGCCUGGGGAGUACGACCGCAAGGUUGAAACUCAAAGGAAUUGACGGGGACCCGCACAAGCGGUGGAGCAUGUGGUUUAAUUCGAAGCAACGCGAAGAACCUUACCAAAUCUUGACAUCCUUUGACAACUCUAGAGAUAGAGCCUUCCCCUUCGGGGGACAAAGUGACAGGUGGUGCAUGGUUGUCGUCAGCUCGUGUCGUGAGAUGUUGGGUUAAGUCCCGCAACGAGCGCAACCCUUAAGCUUAGUUGCCAUCAUUAAGUUGGGCACUCUAAGUUGACUGCCGGUGACAAACCGGAGGAAGGUGGGGAUGGCGUCAAAUCAUCAUGCCCCUUAUGAUUUGGGCUACACACGUGCUACAAUGGACAAUACAAAGGGCAGCGAAACCGCGAGGUCAAGCAAAUCCCAUAAAGUUGUUCUCAGUUCGGACUGUAGUCUGCAACUCGACUACAUGAAGCUGGAAUCGCUAGUAACCGUAGAUCAGCAUGCUACGGUGAAUACGUUCCCGGGUCU